RNAcentral lists this ribosomal RNA (831 nucleotides) under uncultured bacterium. RNAcentral's name for it is "bacterial SSU rRNA". It matches the Rfam family "Bacterial small subunit ribosomal RNA", at positions 59 to 901 of the family's 1533-position model. The record is from RNAcentral.
CAGUCGAACGGACUCAUAUUGAAACCUAGUGAUUUAUGAGUUAGUGGCGGACGGGUGAGUAACACGUGAGCAACCUGCCUUCGAGAGGGGAAUAACGGCUGGAAACGGUCGCUAAUACCGCAUAAUGUACGGAUGGGACAUCCUGUUUGUACCAAAGAUUUAUCGCUCGAAGAUGGGCUCGCGUCCGAUUAGGUAGUUGGUGAGGUAACGGCCCACCAAGCCGACGAUCGGUAGCCGGACUGAGAGGUUGAACGGCCACAUUGGGACUGAGACACGGCCCAGACUCCUACGGGAGGCAGCAGUGGGGGAUAUUGCACAAUGGGGGAAACCCUGAUGCAGCGACGCCGCGUGUGGGAAGACGGUCUUCUGGAUUGUAAACCACUGUCCCCAGGGACGAAAAUGACGGUACCUGGGGAGGAAGCUCCGGCUAACUACGUGCCAGCAGCCGCGGUAAUACGUAGGGAGCAAGCGUUGUCCGGAAUUACUGGGUGUAAAGGGAGCGUAGGCGGGGAUGCAAGUUGGGUGUCAAAACUACCGGCUCAACCGAUAGUCGCACUCAAAACUGCAGCUCUUGAGUGAAGUAGAGGCAGGCGGAAUUCCUAGUGUAGCGGUGAAAUGCGUAGAUAUUAGGAGGAACACCAGUGGCGAAGGCGGCCUGCUGGGCUUUUACUGACGCUGAGGCUCGAAAGUGUGGGGAGCAAACAGGAUUAGAUACCCUGGUAGUCCACACCGUAAACGAUGAUUACUAGGUGUGGGGGGUCUGACCCCCUCCGUGCCGGAGCAAACGCAAUAAGUAAUCCACCUGGGGAGUACGGCCGCAAGGUUGAAACU